RNAcentral lists this ribosomal RNA (525 nucleotides) under uncultured bacterium. Its description in RNAcentral is "bacterial SSU rRNA". It matches the Rfam family "Bacterial small subunit ribosomal RNA", at positions 355 to 896 of the family's 1533-position model. The record is from RNAcentral.
UGGGGAAUAUUGGGCAAUGGGAGAAAUCCUGACCCAGCGACGCCGCGUGAACGAAGACGGCCUUCGGGUUGUAAAGUUCUUUUAUGUGGGAAGAAGGAAGUGACGGUACCACAUGAAUAAGCCCCGGCUAACUACGUGCCAGCAGCCGCGGUAAUACGUAGGGGGCGAGCGUUGUCCGGAAUUACUGGGCGUAAAGGGCACGCAGGCUGUGCUUCAAGUCAGCUGUAAAAGGAUGCGGCUUAACCGUGUUAUGCAGUUGAGACUGAGGUGCUGGAGUACCGGAGAGGCAAGUGGAAUUCCCAGUGUAGCGGUGAAAUGCGUAGAUAUUGGGAAGAACAUCGGUGGCGAAGGCGACUUGCUGGACGGUAACUGACGCUGAGGUGCGAAAGCCAGGGUAGCGAACGGGAUUAGAUACCCCGGUAGUCCUGGCCGUAAACGAUGAAUGCUAGGUGUGCGAGCAGAGAUGUUGGUGUGCCGCAGUUAACGCGAUAAGCAUUCCGCCUGGGGAGUACGGUCGCAAGAUUG